UGCAAGUCGAGCGCACCUUCGGGUGAGCGGCGGACGGGUGAGUAACGCGUGGGAACGUGCCCUUCUCUGCGGAAUAGCCACUGGAAACGGUGAGUAAUACCGCAUACGCCCUUCGGGGGAAAGAUUUAUCGGAGAAGGAUCGGCCCGCGUUAGAUUAGGUAGUUGGUGGGGUAAUGGCCUACMAAGCCUACGAUCUAUAGCUGGUUUGAGAGGAUGAUCAGCCACACUG
This 229-nucleotide ribosomal RNA is filed under the name Salipiger thiooxidans. Its description in RNAcentral is "partial 16S ribosomal RNA". It matches the Rfam family "Bacterial small subunit ribosomal RNA", at positions 56 to 315 of the family's 1533-position model. Lineage: Bacteria; Pseudomonadati; Pseudomonadota; Alphaproteobacteria; Rhodobacterales; Roseobacteraceae. The record is from RNAcentral.